Molecule: unclassified non-coding RNA, 218 nt
Filed under: Hevea brasiliensis (rubber tree)
Lineage: Eukaryota; Viridiplantae; Streptophyta; Magnoliopsida; Malpighiales; Euphorbiaceae
Source: RNAcentral
UUCCUGAACUGUGGCCACCCCUACCUCUAAUGCAACUCAUAUUGUUGAAUUAUUCUUUUGAUAGGUUGUGAGAUUACAUGGUGUACCAACUUCUAUUGUUUCUAAUAGAGAUGUAAAGUUUACAGGGCACUUUGGAAGGACUUUAUGGAGAAAAUUUUUGACAGAAUUGAAAUAUUCUUGCACCUACCAUUCAGAAACUGAUGGCCAAACAGAAGUUG